This 70-nucleotide transfer RNA is filed under the name Vampyrum spectrum. Its description in RNAcentral is "transfer RNA-Thr". The record is from RNAcentral. Lineage: Eukaryota; Metazoa; Chordata; Mammalia; Chiroptera; Phyllostomidae.
GUCCCUGUAGUAUACACCUAUUACACUGGUCUUGUAAACCAGAAAAGGGAGAAGUACUCCCCAUGGACUC